This is a long non-coding RNA of Capra hircus (goat), 1631 nucleotides long. Lineage: Eukaryota; Metazoa; Chordata; Mammalia; Artiodactyla; Bovidae. The record is from Ensembl.
GUUCGUGCAGCUUUGGUGGAAAGCAAUCAGGCCACAUGUAUCAUCACACAAACACGUUCGCAACCUUUGACCCAGACACUUCCUAAGGAAGUAAUUCAAAAUAUGGAAAAAGCUAUCUGUACAAUGAUGCUUCUUUCUCACCAUUGUUUGUAAUGGUGAGAAAAGUGUUUAUUUUUUUGUUUACAUACAGGGUAAAACCAUAGCAAGGGUGGUGUCAGCCCUUUCAGUUCCAUAGUGUGAUUUUUGGGUGUGUGUUAAACGAGGACAUAUAAACAAUAAUUUAGGCCUCUCAGUUCCGUUCAGUUCAGUCGCUCAGUCCUGUCCGACUCUUUUCGACCCCAUGAAUCGCAGCACGCCAGGCCUCCCUGUCCAUCACCAACUCCUGGAGUUCACUCAGACUCACGUCCAUCGAAUCAGUGAUGCCAUCCAAUCAUAUCCUCUGUCAUUCCCUUCUCCUCCUGCCCCCAAUCCCUCCCAGAUUAGAGUCUUUUCCAAUGAGUCGACUCUUUGCAUGAGGUGGCCAAAGUACUGGAGUUUCAGCGUUAGCAUCAUUCCUUCCAAAGAAAUCCCAGGGCUGAUCUCCUUUAGAAUGGACUGGUUGGAUCUCCUUACAGUCCAAGGGACUCUCAAGAAUCUUCUCCAACUCCACAGUUCAAAAGCAUCAAUUCUUCAGCGCUCAGCUUUCUUCUCUAGACAGUCUCUUGUUUUAAUUCGCAGUUGAAUACAGUGCUUUGGAAAGGCUUUUAGACUCUGCUGAACAGUGAUCAGAUUUAAAUCAGUGAAGGAUUUAAAAACCAUCCUCAGUCCCUUCAUCCUUUAGUGGAGUUUGGGGUAAUUCGAAACCAAAGGAAAGAAAAAGGCGGGGUGGGGGUGGGGGGUGUUCUGUCAUCUGUAAACUAGACUUUUAAAUGUCUGGAGAAGGAAGGAAGUCAAGGCAGGGUGGAAUCUUCCUUUCUGUAAGCCCUAGGCCAUUACAGCACAGAAACCCCGCCCCCACCUCCCCCAACUCUCGCCCAAGCCAGAAAGCAGAGCCGAGGCGUCCUGAGAUGGAGAGUCUGGCGGGGUCCGCAUGCGUGCUGGGCUGUGCCCAAGCAGCUGAGGGGGAGCAAAAAAUGGAGAAAAAAGAUCACAGAGGAAUUGACUGUGAAAGGUUUCCUAUUGCCAUUCAAGACAAGAUGCUGCACCCAGACUCAGUUCUCGAAUUUCAUUAUAGAUACAACACCCCAGGACAGAAUUUCUUUAAUCAUACGGAAAGAAGUGCCUUUGCUCGGCUCCGCUAUUUAAAUGAAAAUAAUUCUUCACCUACUCAUUCAAAACCAAAAUGGAUCUGUUUCCAGAGAGCAAAUCCAAAACCCUCUAAUGAUGGAUGUGAACCCAUACCCAGAAAGUCAGACCUUGCUACACUCUCACCCCAUUCCCACUCCUGCAGGAUUUCUGAAAACACAUCCUCCAGCAACUUUAGAAGUAACAAAGAAACGGAAUCUGAGGUGAGGACCUUGCAGCUUGUGAGUUUGGUCUUCCUAACCACAAAACUGAUGGCUUUUAAAUUAUUACAGUAUGACAGCAUCAAAAAAUGUUCUGCUGAAACAAAUUGUGCUCAGCACCAACACAAAGACACACAGCCUGAGUAG